Molecule: non-coding RNA, 337 nt
Organism: Phyllostomus discolor (pale spear-nosed bat)
Lineage: Eukaryota; Metazoa; Chordata; Mammalia; Chiroptera; Phyllostomidae
Source: the annotation of a RefSeq genome assembly
CUCCCCUUAAGAAGUCCUGACUGCACAGCCCCUCACCAUGGACUGGAGCUGGAGAGUCCUCUUCCUUGUGACAGUGGCUACAGGUGUUCACUCCCAGGUGCAACUGGUGCAGUCUGGGGCUGAGGUGAAGAAGCCUGGGGCCUCAGUGAAGGUCUCCUGCAAGGCUUCUGGUAAACCUUCAGCAGAUACUGGAGGCACUGAGUGUGACAGACCCCAGGACAAGGCCUGGAGUGGAUGUAGUCUAUUUACCCUAAGAGUGGUGACAGACACUACACACAGAAGUUCCAGGGCAGAGUCACUAUAACUGCAGACAAGUCCAUGAGCACACACUACAUGG